CAAUUGUAAAGGGGCUUUUUUUACAGCUUGUUUGCCAUUGUCCCUAUUGUACAUUUGUGUGCUCCCCAUAAUUUUUAGGGAAUAUUGGAUGAAAAUGGCUCUUUCAGAACAUCACAGGUUCACAGAUGGACAACAAGUAUCACUGACAAAAACUAACAAUGGUCAAGCUUAGUUUUAUACAUGAAAAUGAAAGAGUUUGUGUUUCACUUUGAAUUUUUUCUUUAUGUUUGUUUUUAUUAUAAACAAUAUCUUAUGAUUGUUUUAUGUCUUAAUUUUUUAUUUUUUUUUAAACAAUCUCAUAUGAUUGUUUAUAUUUGUUUAAAACAGUAUUUACUUGUAAAAUCUGCAUAUUUAAAUAAUUAUGGUAUUGGAAACAUUAUUUUGGAAAUAAUCUAUUUAUUUUUGUACAUAAGUUAUGCAAGAUUUUGAUAUUUGCAUAUGAUACCAUCAUAUCCAUUUUCUUAAUUUGGAAUAAAAUAAUAAAAUGCCAAACAUUACCUGUGUUACAUAAACUGUCAACAAAAUAACAAGACAAUACCUUAAAACACCCUUAUUUCACACCACUAACAAUAAACAGAUAACAAUCUGUCAGGCAUUCAGAGCUAAACAGGGUACUGAUUAUCUAGGGGUAGAUAAGGCUACUGAUGGGGUCCUAGAGAUAAGGCUGUGUGGAAUAAGAUAUAAGGCUUUUGAUUGGCUAUUGCACUGAGGAAGUUAUCUUUUUGAAAACAACAACUUUUGAAAAACAAGCUGGUGUCAGCAACUGAAUAUUGAGCUAAAUUUAAUUCAGCAACAUUAAUAUAAAGAAGUGAAAGACUUAUAAUGGUAGUGUAAAAUGUCUUGAAAUUCUGUCAGCAUGAAGUAUUGUGUGAUGAAAACAAUGUGUUUUUUACUGCAAUGUGGAAAUCAAUAAUAAGUUGGUUGGAAAGGAGGUUGAACUGCCUGUUGUUGUUUUUGGAAUACUGAAGAACAGUUUUAACAGGUUUGUAUUGUCAUUUCUUCACCCCUUUUUUUAUUUAGUUUAUUGAAUUAAUUAUGAUCAUUAUCAUAUUUAUGUAUUGUCACUGGGAAAUGUAAAUGGAUAAGUUAUUGUAUUGCAAUUUAAAGGAUAAACAACACAUUUUGAAGCAAAAAUAGAUAAACUUACACAUGAAAAAGUGUAAAUGUUGUGUACAGUGAAUAAUUAUGGUUGUGUUUCAUGGUUAUUGUCAUCUAAAAUUUUAUUUAUAUCUAUUUCUGGUUAUUACUGAACGGAUUUCUUUCCCUCUUACUUAAUUAGAACUUAUAUAUUUUAAUUUUGAAGGUUAAACUCUUGCCACAAGGCAAAAUUGACAUCGUUGGGAAGAUCCUUUGGAAAGAAUGUGCAUCAUCGCCUGCCUGAUGUAUGGACUUUUAAACCUGGUUUUUACCCUGCACAAGCUGGCAAACUUGAGGGGAACAAGAGUGGGAAAACCUCGCCCUGUCCUUGACCAAGAAAGCUCGAUUUGUUGAGAGAUCAACUGGCAUAAGAGAUGCUCAAGAGGAGAAGGACACAAGCAGCAUCAAUGGAACAACUACAUGUCGCUCCAGCGCCCGCUUUCCAGGUCUCUACCAGCUGCUUUCCAGGUCCCUCCACCCGCCAAGAUCAGGUCUAGGUCCCUGCACUGGCUGCUUUCCAGGUCCCCUAGCGGUCAAGGUCUCUCCAGUAGCUGCUGUGCAGGUCCCAACACCGUAUGCCGUCAAGGUCCCUCCUUAAGCUGAAAUCCAGGUUCCUCAUUCCACUGCGGUUCAGGUACCUCCAACAGCUGAGAUCCAGGUCUCUGCAGCAGCUGCGGUCUAAAUACUCCACCCGCAGUGGUCCAUUGCGGUCAAACUUUUGCUUUAAAAUCUUCCAUAAAUGUCUAUUAUUUUAUAAUGUAUUGUAAAAAUAAUCUGUUAGUAUUAAUUUGCGGUGUACUAUUUUUGUCAUAUAAACAUAAUUUUCGUA
This is a long non-coding RNA of Dreissena polymorpha, 1966 nucleotides long. RefSeq lists it as uncharacterized. Lineage: Eukaryota; Metazoa; Mollusca; Bivalvia; Myida; Dreissenidae. The record is from RefSeq and is a predicted model, not a curated record. The transcript has 2 exons.